This 774-nucleotide ribosomal RNA is filed under the name uncultured Methylophilus sp. RNAcentral describes it as "bacterial SSU rRNA". It matches the Rfam family "Bacterial small subunit ribosomal RNA", at positions 8 to 777 of the family's 1533-position model. The record is from RNAcentral. Lineage: Bacteria; Pseudomonadati; Pseudomonadota; Betaproteobacteria; Nitrosomonadales; Methylophilaceae.
AGAGUUUGAUCAUGGCUCAGAUUGAACGCUGGCGGAAUGCUUUACACAUGCAAGUCGAACGAUGAACCCUAGCUUGCUAGGGGGAUUAGUGGCGAACGGGUGAGUAAUAUAUCGGAACGUGCCUUGUAAUGGGGGAUAACUAGUCGAAAGAUUAGCUAAUACCGCAUACGCCCUGAGGGGGAAAGUAGGGGAUCUUCGGACCUUACGUUAUAAGAGCGGCCGAUAUCUGAUUAGCUAGUUGGUGGGGUAAUGGCCUACCAAGGCUCCGAUCAGUAGCUGGUCUGAGAGGACGACCAGCCACACUGGAACUGAGACACGGUCCAGACUCCUACGGGAGGCAGCAGUGGGGAAUUUUGGACAAUGGGCGCAAGCCUGAUCCAGCCAUUCCGCGUGAGUGAAGAAGGCCUUCGGGUUGUAAAGCUCUUUCGCAAGGGAAGAAAACUUACUUUCUAAUAAAGAGUGAGGCUGACGGUACCUUGAUAAGAAGCACCGGCUAACUACGUGCCAGCAGCCGCGGUAAUACGUAGGGUGCGAGCGUUAAUCGGAAUUACUGGGCGUAAAGCGUGCGCAGGCGGUUUGGCAAGUCAGAUGUGAAAUCCCCGAGCUCAACUUGGGAACUGCGUUUGAAACUGCCAGACUAGAAUAUGUCAGAGGGGGGUAGAAUUCCACGUGUAGCAGUGAAAUGCGUAGAGAUGUGGAGGAAUACCAAUGGCGAAGGCAGCCCCCUGGGAUAAUAUUGACGCUCAUGCACGAAAGCGUGGGGAGCAAACAGGA